UAGGGAAUCUUCCGCAAUGGGCGAAAGCUUGACGGAGCAACGCCGCGUGAGUGAUGAAGGUCUUCGGAUCGUAAAACUCUGUUAUUAGGGAAGAACAAAUGUGUAAGUAACUAUGCACGUCUUGACGGUACCUAAUCAGAAAGCCACGGCUAACUACGUGCCAGCAGCCGCGGUAAUACGUAGGUGGCAAGCGUUAUCCGGAAUUAUUGGGCGUAAAGCGCGCGUAGGCGGUUUUUUAAGUCUGAUGUGAAAGCCCACGGCUCAACCGUGGAGGGUCAUUAGAAACUGGACAACUUGAGUGCAGAAGAGGAAAGUAGAAUUCCAUGUGUAGCGGUGAAAUGCGCAGAGAUACGGAGGAACACCAGUGGCGAAGGCGACUUUCUGGUCUGUAACUGACGCUGAUGUGCGAAAGCGUGGGGAUCAAACAGG
Molecule: ribosomal RNA, 429 nt
Filed under: Actinomycetes bacterium
Lineage: Bacteria; Bacillati; Actinomycetota; Actinomycetes
Description: Actinobacteria bacterium partial 16S ribosomal RNA
Rfam family: Bacterial small subunit ribosomal RNA
Source: RNAcentral